This is a long non-coding RNA of Globicephala melas (long-finned pilot whale), 604 nucleotides long. RefSeq lists it as uncharacterized. The record is from RefSeq and is a predicted model, not a curated record. Lineage: Eukaryota; Metazoa; Chordata; Mammalia; Artiodactyla; Delphinidae.
CAGACCUUUCCCUGGGGGCGGCCAGUCAGGACUGCUCCCUUCUCCACCGGCAGGUGGCCGUCGAGCUGACGUCCGAGAGGGUGACCAGUAGUGGGAGAGCUCAGGACCAGACGGGACUUUCGGGCCGUGGCACCACACUGGGUAGCUGAGUCAACUAGCGAAAGACACGAUUAAAGAGGCUGGGGGAGCACCAAACCGCUCAGGACUCCAGAAACCGAAAAACAAGCGAGGAAAGAAUGAGAAUAAGCACUUCUUUAAGAAUUAUUCUGUUGAAUUUUCACAAGGGGACCUAGAAUACUGAAAAAUGAAAGCAAAUGGACAGUAAAGUCGUCAAGACUCAGUUUCAUAGUGUCUGUUUUCCACCGACAACUCUUGGACACUUUGAAAGAAGAAAAUAAAACACUAUUUCAACAUCAGAACUGCAUCAAGUUGCAAAUGGAAAAUUGGUACAAACUGAGAAGCAACGUCAAGUCCUGUACACAUACAAAGGAAAAACAUAACCCAAUGGAUUCUGGUGAAGUCCCUCCUCUCUUGCUGUGAGCCUCGACCUCACCAAGACGACUUCAACAAGCAGAAGAAAGACAAAAAGGAAGUGGGAGAAAGA